UACAGAGGUCCCAAGCGUUGUUCGGAUUCAUUGGGCGUAAAGGGUGCGUAGGUGGCGUCGUAAGUCGGGUGUGAAAUCUCGGGGCUUAACUCCGAAACUGCAUUCGAUACUGCGGUGCUUGAGGACUGGAGAGGAGACUGGAAUUUACGGUGUAGCAGUGAAAUGCGUAGAGAUCGUAAGGAAGACCAGUGGCGAAGGCGGGUCUCUGGACAGUACCUGACACUGAGGCACGAAGGCCAGGGGAGCAAGCGGG
This 253-nucleotide ribosomal RNA is filed under the name uncultured bacterium. RNAcentral describes it as "partial 16S ribosomal RNA". It matches the Rfam family "Bacterial small subunit ribosomal RNA", at positions 524 to 776 of the family's 1533-position model. The record is from RNAcentral.